CGGGGGAAAGAUUUAUCGGAGAAGGAUUAGCCCGCGUUAGAUUAGGUAGUUGGUGGGGUAAUGGCCUACCAAGCCUACGAUCUAUAGCUGGUUUGAGAGGAUGAUCAGCCACAUUGGGACUGAGACACGGCCCAAACUCCUACGGGAGGCAGCAGUGGGGAAUCUUGCACAAUGGAGGAAACUCUGAUGCAGCGAUGCCGCGUGAGUGAAGAAGGCCCUUGGGUUGUAAAGCUCUUUCGUCGGGGAAGAAAAUGACUGUACCCGAAUAAGAAGGUCCGGCUAACUUCGUGCCAGCAGCCGCGGUAAUACGAAGGGACCUAGCGUAGUUCGGAAUUACUGGGCUUAAAGAGUUCGUAGGUGGUUGAAAAAGUUGGUGGUGAAAUCCCAGAGCUUAACUCUGGAACUGCCAUCAAAACUUUUCAGCUAGAGUAUGAUAGAGGAAAGCAGAAUUUCUAGUGUAGAGGUGAAAUUCGUAGAUAUUAGAAAGAAUACCGAUUGCGAAGGCAGCUUUCUGGAUCAUUACUGACACUGAGGAACGAAAGCAUGGGUAGCGAAGAGGAUUAGAUACCCUCGUAGUCCAUGCCGUAAACGAUGUGUGUUAGACGUUGGAAAUUUAUUUUCAGUGUCGCAGGGAAACCGAUAAACACACCGCCUGGGGAGUACGACCGCAAGGUUAAAACUCAAAUGAAUUGACGGGGACCCGCACAAGUAGUGGAGCAUGUGGUUUAAUUCGAAGAUACGCGCAGAACCUUACCAACACUUGACAUGUUCGUCGCGACUCUAAGAGAUUAGAGUUUUCGGUUCGGCCGGACGAAACACAGGUGCUGCAUGGCUGUCGUCAGCUCGUGUCGUGAGAUGUUGGGUUAAGUCCCGCAACGAGCGCAACCCUCACUUUUAGUUGCCAUCAUUAAGUUGGGCACUCUGAAAGAACUGCCAGUGAUAAGCUGGAGGAAGGUGGGGAUGACGUCAAGUCCUCAUGGCCCUUACGUGUUGGGCUACACACGUGCUACAAUGGCAUCUACAACAGGAAGCAAAACGGCAACGUUAAGCAAAUCCCAAAAAGAUGCCUCAGUUCGGAUUGCACUCUGCAACUCGAGUGCAUGAAGCUGGAAUUACUAGUAAUCGUGGAUCAGCGUGCCACGGUGAAUGCGUUCCCGGGUCUUGUACACACCGCCCGUCACACCAUGGGAGUUGGUUCUACCUUAAGGCAAGGUUUUAAACCCUUGACCACGGUAUAGUCAGCGACUGGGGUGAAGUCGUAACAAGGUAACC
Molecule: ribosomal RNA, 1272 nt
Filed under: uncultured Pelagibacterales bacterium
Lineage: Bacteria; Pseudomonadati; Pseudomonadota; Alphaproteobacteria; Candidatus Pelagibacterales
Description: partial 16S ribosomal RNA
Rfam family: Bacterial small subunit ribosomal RNA
Source: RNAcentral